This 274-nucleotide small RNA is filed under the name Arabidopsis thaliana (thale cress). Its description in RNAcentral is "ATSL260750". The record is from RNAcentral. Lineage: Eukaryota; Viridiplantae; Streptophyta; Magnoliopsida; Brassicales; Brassicaceae.
AAAAAUACAACUAGUAUGAUCUCUGUUGUACUCACAUAACUAUUUGCAUAUUUGAUCCGUCAUAGUUGAUUUUGUAAAAUCUUUUAUUUGAGAAAGCAUUGCUAAGAUUUGUGUAAAGAGAAAUUAGAUUAAGCUUCAUGUUUACGUUCACGUUAAUGUCGUAGAUAUAUAUACACAAUAUCUUGCCGAAAAAUAAAUUAAAAAAGUCAAAGAAAAAUAAAAAUCUAACAUAAGUAUAUAUGCAGACAACAAAACAUAUAGAAAAUUAAAUUAA